CGGCCCAUGGCUCCCUGCCUUCCUCUCUUAACCCGAGUUUUCACCGCGUACCUGGGACCCGGAGGCUGCUGCCUGGACGAGAGCCUAUACUUUGUGGCUAAAGACAGAAGGACUUUGAAGGGCAGAGGAAAUUCUUCUUCAACAGUUGACAUAGUCAGUAGGAUACUUUGACUCACUAGACACCACUGCAACGGAGAUCCUUGGGACAUCUGACAUAUACCCGGCAGAAGAUUAAAAAAAAAACAAACUUUUUCUCUUAAAUGACUUAGAGCAAUUUGAUAGAAUACUACCACUGGAACAAAUGGAAACUUGCAUCUUUUUUCUACCUGAACCCUCCAGAAUUCAGAAACUCUCAGAGAGGAAUAUACAUUAGAUGCCCACAUCCUGACUAGCAAGAGCACGGACACGCUUCAGGAGGAUAAAAUCAGCAGAAGGUAGCAAAGACUGUUGUCAAACACCUGCAGUGCC
Herpailurus yagouaroundi (jaguarundi) is the source of this 468-nucleotide long non-coding RNA. RefSeq lists it as uncharacterized. The transcript has 5 exons. The record is from RefSeq and is a predicted model, not a curated record. NCBI's taxonomy places the organism in Eukaryota, Metazoa, Chordata, Mammalia, Carnivora, Felidae.